CUAGAUAGUGAGGUUUGGCUAGGACUAUACUGAAACCUAAGCAACUGGAACCAAGUUUGAAUAUUGAUCCAAACGUUAGAACUCAGGUUACUCGGCACGGCCUGACAGCAAAGUCUGCGUAAUCGCGGGCAUCAUGACUGUCAAUCUGGUACCAUCUAUUGAGCAUUUGCAAAUUGUAAUUAAUUCCUAUAAGAAAUAUCCCAGAAGGUUAAUAAUUGUACUGCAAAACUGGAGAUUCCUAUAAGAAUAUGCCAAAUACCUAAUUGUACUGCAAAACUUGAAAGCUAGAAUCAAAUAUUUCAAGAAAACAGAAUGAGACUAAUAGCAAUAUGACAUCACCAGAGUCCUCUCACUUUCCUUCAACCUCCACUUACUUGCCGAUCUCCAUCAGCCAUGGGAUUUCGCUUUCAAAAUCCAAAGUCUGAGCAAAGCAAAUUCGCUCAGCACGAAUGGGUAAUCGAUCCUUCUCUCCAUUUCAAUUUGUAGGUAAUGGAUAAAACCCAAAUUGGGGUCUCUUUCUGGGUUUUAUUUUGGGGUUUCUUUUAGACCUGAGGAUGAACACGCACCAAGUUUUGAAGACGCGAGCUCAACACCUCCAGUCGUAGUAGUAGUCAUUGUAAUCGACGGUGGUGGAGGAGUCAGAUUCAUCAGGAUGCAGAGCAAGUGAUUACGGGGUGAAAGGUUUGAUCGAUUUUGAGUCCUUGAUCUUACUCUGGAGAAGAAGAAGAAUCACCCAGACACUGAGAAAGUUUUGAGGUGCUAAAUAAGAUAAGUGCUACUUCACCAAAUCUCCCUGCUGUUUCUUCACUACUGCUUCUAAGGUUGCUUUGGAGUGUUAACCUUUCUUGGUGUUUUGAUUGGUAUUCCUUUUUCACCAAAUUUGCUUAUUCUGUCUGUGAAAAUGGCUUGAUGUCAAAUUGGGUUUUUGUGGCUUGCACUUUUGCAGUGAUAUUGAUAUUAAGGUUUGCAAUUUCUUGCGUAAAGUUACAAACCCAUGUUUAGGUUUUUUACUUUGGAAUCAGUUUGAAUAGCAAAAUGUAUGUAUUUUUUCUCACCUAGGAAAUUGAAGAUCAUAACUUACUUUUAUCUCAAAACUUUUUUUUUCCUCUUUUAUGUUCUGUAUUUCGAAACCAUUGCUAUGUCUGUUAGAAAAGUUUCAUGUAUUGUGCCAUUUUCAGCGCGCACGAUUAAUUGAGAGACUGUCCCACUUGUAGGACUAAACUAUUUUAUAUAAGAAAGCUAAAGUUUUUGUACAACUCUAGUUACUGGUUGUUAUUACCAUAUUUUUCGUUAAUUGGUUGGAGAAAUUUUUGAAUUCAAAUAUGCAAAUUCAAUGUAUUGGUAGCUACUGAAAAAACAUUUCACCAAUCUGUCUACUGGUUUAUCUGUGAGCUAUUAAAUUGAAAUGAGCUCGAAACUUUUUCCUGUG
Molecule: long non-coding RNA, 1429 nt
Organism: Rosa rugosa (rugosa rose)
Lineage: Eukaryota; Viridiplantae; Streptophyta; Magnoliopsida; Rosales; Rosaceae
Exons: 3
Source: RefSeq, a predicted model, not a curated record